This 223-nucleotide ribosomal RNA is filed under the name uncultured bacterium. RNAcentral's name for it is "partial 16S ribosomal RNA". It matches the Rfam family "Bacterial small subunit ribosomal RNA", at positions 326 to 539 of the family's 1533-position model. The record is from RNAcentral.
ACGCUCGACACCUACGGGAAGCAGCAGUAGGGAAUCUUCCACAAUGGGCGCAAGCCUGAUGGAGCAACACCGCGUGAGUGAGGAAGGGUUUCGGCUCGUAAAGCUCUGUUGUUGGAGAAGAACGUGCGUGAGAGUAACUGUUCACGCAGUGACGGUAUCCAACCAGAAAGUCACGGCUAACUACGUGUCAGCAGCCGCGGUAAUCUGAGCGGGCUGGCAAGGC